RNAcentral lists this ribosomal RNA (314 nucleotides) under uncultured bacterium. RNAcentral's name for it is "bacterial SSU rRNA". It matches the Rfam family "Bacterial small subunit ribosomal RNA", at positions 30 to 345 of the family's 1533-position model. The record is from RNAcentral.
AUUGAACGCUGGCGGCAUGCCUUACACAUGCAAGUCGAACGGCAGCACGGGGGCAACCCUGGUGGCGAGUGGCGAACGGGUGAGUAACAUAUCGGAACAUACCCUAGAGUGGGGAUAACGUAGCGAAAGUUACGCUAAUACCGCAUACGAUCUAAGGAUGAAAGUGGGGGAUCUUCGGACCUCAUGCUCAUGGAGUGGCCGAUAUCUGAUUAGCUAGUUGGUGAGGUAAAGGCUCACCAAGGCGACGAUCAGUAGCUGGUUUGAGAGAACGACCAGCCACACUGGAACUGAGACACGGUCCAGACUCCUACGGA